CUAGAACUAGUUGAACGGGAGGCAACAGACUGGCUUCAAUGGCUCAGCUGGUUGGUGCAGAGUGACUGCGUUCACCACCCGCCUGCAAUGUGUGUAGACCGAGUACAGAAGUUUAGUAGCUCCGGAACCAUUUAAUCAGAGUUCUAGGUUCCAUCCCCAUCAGGAACGUGUGUGUAGACUGAGUACAGAAGUUUAGUAGCUCCGGAACCAUUUAAUCAGAGUUCUAGGUUCCAUCCCCAUCAGGAACGUGUGUGUAGACUGAGUACAGAAGUUUAGUAGCUCCGGAACCAUUUAAUCAGAGUUCUAGGUUCCAUCCCCAUCAGGAACGUGUGUGUGUAGACCGAGUACAGAAGUUUAGUAGCUCCGGAACCAUUUAAUCAGAGUUCUAGGUUCCAUCCCCAUCAGGAACGUGUGUGUAGACUGAGUACAGAAGUUUAGUAGCUCCGGAACCAUUUAAUCAGAGUUCUAGGUUCCAUCCCCAUCAGGAACGUGUGUGUAGA
This is a long non-coding RNA of Oncorhynchus keta (chum salmon), 500 nucleotides long. RefSeq lists it as uncharacterized. The record is from RefSeq and is a predicted model, not a curated record. The transcript has 3 exons. Lineage: Eukaryota; Metazoa; Chordata; Actinopteri; Salmoniformes; Salmonidae.